UUGUUCCCUGGCAGGGUGGGCAGGCCCUGGCACAGGGUGCCCAGAGCAGCUGUGGCUGCCCCUGGAUCCCUGGCAGUGCCCAAGGCCAGGCUGGGCAGGCUUGGAUCACCCUGGGACAGUGGGAGAUGUCCCUGCCAUGGCAGGAGGUGACACAAGAUCCUCUUUAAGGCUCCUCCAACCCCAGCCCUCCCGUGCCUGUUCCCAGCAGCGCUGUGAGAGCCCAGAGUCACCCAGCAGGGUGUGAUUUGUGCCAAAACCCAGCCACAUCCCCCCAAACCCUGCCUGCCCCAGCACCAGACACGCUCAGACCAGCCCAGAUUUUUUCUCUGGUAGCAAAUGACCACAUUCCCUCCUCGCAGCUCCUCUCCUGCACUGAUCAAAAAACCAAAAAAAACCCAAAAAACCCCUUAACAAACAGGCAUCAUCCGUGCCCCGGGGAGCAGAGCAAGCUGCUUUUCUUUUUCUUGGCUGGCUCAGCCCGUGCUGGGGUUGUGGGACCUUUUUUCAUCUCGGCACUUGGAGGAGCGGAGUAAAACCAGGAUGAUGAAUGGUGGAAAAAUCACAGGCUGGCUCUGCUCGGAGCCUCUCCCCUGCAGCUCCUCCUCUCGCUGCACUGCUUCCAGCACCCCACAGCUCCCUGCCUCCCUGCGUGUUAUGGCACCUUUGGGAUGUGUUAGUCAUAAGCGUGAAGCUACUGGUGCUGUGCAGGGAGAUUUUCACUCUGGCUCUGGCAGGAGAGCUCUGACACAGCCCUGCUGUCGGCCCUGCCGCUCGCCGGGGCCUCCUCAGGUUCCAGACUGCUCAAAAAAAAGGGGAAAAGGCCAAUUUUUAUUUCCUCAGGGAACAAUAAGAAAAUUUCUCUUUCUGAGCCCAUCUCCUUCUGAAACGAGCCCCAGGAGUGGUCACAACCUGCCAUAAAAAUGCCAUGUGCAGGAGAAUAUAUUGAAUAUCGGGCAGGCAGCAUGGAACGAUACGAUCUGUUUGGGGUUUGAAGCAUCAAGGUUCCAGCUCUGCUCCUUGGGAACCUCCCUAUUCCCCUGUGUAGGGCUGGGUUCACCCAGAUCACAGACAGACAGGUUUCCAAAAAUCUCCCUCAAAGCUGAGGAUAAAUCUACAAAUCUCCUUGAAGAUGAAUCUCCAAAAAACCUCCUCCAAAGAUGAAGAUCAGCUCCAGCUCCAACCGCCUGGGUGAUGAGCUGGUGUUGGAUGUGCCUGGAAAACCUCCUCCCACAGCCAAGGUGAGCCCAAGAUCUGCUUUAAAACUCUGCUUUAAACCUCUGCCUUAAACCUCUGCUUUAAACCCCUGUUUAAAACCCCUUUUUAAACGGUUUUUUAAAACUCCUGCUUUAAACCUCUGCUUUAAACCACUGUUUUAAACCCCUGCUUUAAACUCCAUUUUAAACCCCUUUUUUAAACCCCUGCUUUGAGCCCCUGCCCCACCAAUAUCAAACACCCCCUGGCCCAAGCACUGAGCCCAGCCCAGCUUUGCUCUGCUCACUCCCACCGCAUCCUGCGACCAAACCUCAUUAGCAAUAACUAAUUAAACAGAAGGCCUUUCCCAGCGCUUGCUGGAGCAGAGCUGGCAGUGUGAGGUCAUGUUUGUGCCCUGUGUCAUCACGCUGAUGUCAGGGCUGCUGCCAGCACGGUCAGGGGGUGUUUGUGAGGCUGGAGAUCGAUGUUAAAUACUGGAUUUAGGAUCCACUGCAGCUCGGACUGCGUUUGACCUUCUUUGGCUGACAGGGAGCCAGAGGGGUUUUUCCAUGGCAUGAAGUUAAAGGAGUUUCCACUGGCCAGCUCUCUCCUCUCCCUCCACCAUAUCUCAGUCCUAGCUCUUAUUGGGAAUCAUAAAAAAAAAAAGAAAGAUCUCUCGGAGGAAAUAAUAAAAAUUUAUGGAAGAAAUCUCCAGAGAACAAAACAUCAAGCCAGCAAAGAGACAGAACACGAGGAAACCGCCAAGGAAUAAUGUGAAAAAUUGAUGAGCAGAGCUGCAGAUACUGGAAAACAAUAAACAAGCAGAAUCUGCUUAACCAGGGAUGAUUGUAAUGUUAUUUCUGUGGGUUGAGAACACUGAGGUUUAUAUCCAUCCGGGAUUUUGGCACUCACACAAUGGUGUAUCCAGGCAUUUCAGCUCUCUGCUGUUCUCUUUCAGACACACAAAAAUUAUGUCCACUGGUUUUUCCAUGAAAAAUUACCGGGGUUUUAUUCCAAGCUGUUCCACAAAUCAAAGCUGUCACUGCAGCGAGGGUGAAACAUUCGCCGGCUCUCAUCGCUGUCCUCCUCCCCCUGCUCUCAGGGGAGGGAGGAACAUAUGUGUUUGAGAACAAAUAAUCAUCACUGGUUGCAUUCAAAUACCGUUCUCUGGCAGAAUAAACCCGUACCUGUGAGGAAAAGCAGAGGAGGGAGGAUCUGCAGGAACAGGGAACUGCGUAUCAGGACAAAUAUUUGCAUCCCAGCCCCAGGAGGCUUCUCUUCCCUUCCCUCUGCUUCUCCUCCAGCCAUCUGUGCAUCCUCCAAACCCAGAUUUUAUUCCCCACUGUGUUUGAGAUGACACCCAGCCUUCAUCUCGAGUGAUGCUGCUGGUGGCUGAAACCUCCAGAAACGCUGGUUUGGUUCUCCAAGCAGACUGAAGCCUGGAAAUUUCCCUGCUGAUGGUUUAUAAAAGCACACCCUCACCUCAUCCCCGUAAAUCCAGCUGUCUUCACCCGGCUGUGAAACCACCACCUUCACCAACCCAUCCUUCUCCCACCAGCUCCCUCCAACCCUCCCAAGCAAUUUGGGAGCCUCAGACCCUCAGCGUUUCCUCCUGAGCCCACGAUGGCACUUUCUCUGAACAUCCUCUUAGCCUGGAGAUCUUUUUUGCUCUCCUAAUCUUCCCCAAACCAUCAUUUCUUAUCCAAAGCUGCUUAAGCACUUUGGGGAGGAACGUUCAUUUCCAGGCAAUACGUGCCCAACCUUGGCUGCUUUGCAAGAGGAGCUGCCCAUAAUCCAGAAUAAAAUUAAACCUUAAUCACCGUGUUCUGAGGGGAAGAUUUGUCACUGCCCAGCAAACAGGGAUCUUAAUGAAGAUGUUGGUUGCUCCUUGCAGGGCACA
Long non-coding RNA from Prinia subflava (tawny-flanked prinia), 3091 nucleotides. RefSeq lists it as uncharacterized. The record is from RefSeq and is a predicted model, not a curated record. The transcript is spliced from 3 exons. NCBI's taxonomy places the organism in Eukaryota, Metazoa, Chordata, Aves, Passeriformes, Cisticolidae.